GCCAGUGACACCGAGCGGUACUUUCGAUUUGAAAUCGGAAAUUUUGUUUUUAUCACAACAUUGGCU
Molecule: transfer RNA, 66 nt
Filed under: Haplobothrium globuliforme
Lineage: Eukaryota; Metazoa; Platyhelminthes; Cestoda; Haplobothriidea; Haplobothriidae
Description: tRNA-Ser
Source: RNAcentral